GGAAGGUGAAAUCACAGCAGAUUGCAAAUUUGAAGAAGCACCCAGAAAGGUGCCCCGGCU
This 60-nucleotide transfer RNA is filed under the name Lygodactylus conradti (Matschie's dwarf gecko). Its description in RNAcentral is "tRNA-Cys". Lineage: Eukaryota; Metazoa; Chordata; Lepidosauria; Squamata; Gekkonidae. The record is from RNAcentral.